This 852-nucleotide unclassified non-coding RNA is filed under the name Hevea brasiliensis (rubber tree). Lineage: Eukaryota; Viridiplantae; Streptophyta; Magnoliopsida; Malpighiales; Euphorbiaceae. The record is from RNAcentral.
GAAGUAGGAGGAAUCUCACCCAGUACUGACCGGAAAGGGAAUGUCACGCCAAAUGAUUUGCACAAGUUUACAGGCAAUGGUGAGAAAUCAUUAUCAACUAACCAAAAAUAUAUGAGAGUGUUAACCAUGAACUCUGCUUUUUCAACAAUUGGAGUCUCAUAGGAAAAAGAGUAGUGAAGCAGUGAGCUCCUAUAUGGUUGAUGUGCCUUCAUAUCAGCUACAGGCACAUAUGCACGGAGAUAUGCAUACAAGAGACGCAUAUACAAAUCGCCCUCAUUCUUCUGCUCCAUCCCACGUUUGGUACUUGAUAAACCUGGAAUCGAAUAAGCCCAAUUCUCCAAUCUAAACCUUCUGCUUCUUCUAACACUUACAGUUUGAGGGCCCUCACUGUUACCUCGACAAACAGGGUAAUAGACAAACCAGAACAUGUAAUAUUCAAACACAUUCAACUGAACCUGAAAUGAAGAACCCUUAACUGAGUCCUCCUUCAACCUAUUCUUGAAUAACGGGCAUAAGUCAGACAAAACCAAAGAAUCCCUUUCAUUUUGAAGCAUAUGACGAACCCAUUCGGGUAACCUUUCUACAGGAAAUACAUAUUUAACCAGAGACAGCCCAUCCGCAGCCACAAUAGAAGAUAGCAACACACCAGUGGGCGAUAAUAAGCUGAAAAUUCUGCCUGCGAGCUGAGUAUCAUUGGAUAAAGUGGCGAUAUCUAUCCAUCCAGAAGGAGACAUAGACUUGACAGCAGCUGAAGCAGAAGACGAUUCAUCGAACCCGAAAAUUUUACAUAUUAGGGUUGGGAAAGUGAUGGAGAAGAACCAUCGGGUCUGGUCAGCUGUAAGCUUGUGUAGA